UACGUAGGGUGCAAGCGUUAAUCGGAAUUACUGGGCGUAAAGCGCGCGCAGGCGGUUUGGCAAGUCAGAUGUGAAAUCCCCGGGCUCAACCUGGGAACUGCAUUUGUGACUGCACGGCUGGAGUGCGGCAGAGGGGGAUGGAAUUCCGCGUGUAGCAGUGAAAUGCGUAGAUAUGCGGAGGAACACCGAUGGCGAAGGCAAUCCCCUGGGCCUGCACUGACGCUCAUGCACGAAAGCGUGGGGAGCAAACAGG
This 253-nucleotide ribosomal RNA is filed under the name uncultured bacterium. RNAcentral's name for it is "partial 16S ribosomal RNA". It matches the Rfam family "Bacterial small subunit ribosomal RNA", at positions 524 to 776 of the family's 1533-position model. The record is from RNAcentral.